CUCUCUCUCUCUCUCUCUCACUCACUCUCUCGUCUCUGCAACGGAUUUGAUCAAUCACAGUUCAUUCCUUCUGCUACUUUCAAAAUCCAGGGUUUGAUUCCUUCUCUAUACUCUUCCGAUGGCGAAAUCUAAAGAAGAAGAAGAAGAGAAACCAGACGGUCUUGAAAUAAUUUCAAUUGGAUCUCUAUACAGUGGACCCUGGGACAAGAAGUACUGGAGCUCUUCUAGGGGUAAAGAUCGGUAUCCUUACCCUUUGGGAUAUGAUGCUCGUCGAGCUUUUAAUGGGAGCACCUAUAAGAUGGAAAUUCAGGAAGGUUCUAAAGGACCAUUAUUUGUGAUUACUUCUGCUGAUGGACAUUUGUGUUCUGGUCAAACACCUGAUAUUGCUUGGGAGAAAUUUCAGAAGAAAGGUUGCUUGCGCAUGAAGAUCUGGCAUGGCAAAAGAUUUUCUUGCAAGAUAGAUGGCAUAGAGUUCUUUGGGUUCAGAAAUCCAUUUGUCCAGAGGUUACUACGGGAGCUGGUGGCAAAUGUCAAUGGAAUAGCAGAACGUAGUCUAUUAUCUUCUAGCUUCUGCAAUGGGGCUUCCAGUAUGGAUGACAAUAAUCAAUACCAAGAUGCACUCACAUGUUCUGAUGUUUUACCACAUUUGGCAAGACCGCAGGUUAUAGGGAAAAGAAAUAAGAAACGUGAAAUUGUAAAUUCUAAGUCAUUAAGUAUUGAUGGUUUUAAAAGACCGCGAACUGGAGAUCCAAUAUUUAAUGGUGAGCCAUCAAAUUCAACACAUAGGAAUCAUAAGCAAAGUAGUUCCUCGCCUUGCUCUGAUUUUAGUUUUCAUGAGAAGUGCGGCUCUUGCACACUUCCAGGAGCAUUGCCAGUAGAAGUGCAGUUAAAAUGCAUAACUGGAGAAGCAAAUAAUCACAUUUCAGCUGAAGAUGGUUUGCAUUUGAAGCCUGUUGACUACACUGAUCAUAUUAGGGGGAAAGCUCUCCCAGUUCAUGAAGAUCUUGCUAGUUCUGAAAAUAAUAAAUCCACUAGAGUAGUCAUGAAUUCCUUUGCAGAAGAAAGACCUCUUGAUAGGUUGCAAAAUACUGAAGUGGAAGGGUUGAAUUUUCCAGCAUCAUCUGAAUUCAAAGAUGUAGAUGGACCAUGUUCAGGAGAAUCUCAAAGUGUCCACAAUGUUGAUCUUUGUGCUCCUGAUACAUUAGAUUUUGUGCAAGAUGAUACUACAAAUUCUGCUCCAAGUACCUUGGAUAAAAUUGCUUGUGGCAUCAAAGAAGAAUCAAUGACAGCUGAUGUGGUUGUUUGUGAAGAAUUGGUUAACAAGUCACAUUCUGAAGAAGAAACAGGCACUUCUAAUUCAAACAUGAGUUCGGAAAAGGCUGAUUUUGAUUCAGUUGGUCAAGAUAUAGCCAAGUCAAUGAUGACAGUUCUGCUUCCACAAGCUAUUCCUCUGCUCAAAAAAACCUCAAGCAAGAAAAAGAAAACCAUUAUUCCUUCAGGGAACUUGCCUCCUACACCUAAGCCCCAUGAAGAAAAAAGAGACAUGGGAUUUUUUGUAGAUGCUCAAUCUAAUGGUGUAGAUCAAUCAAUUUUUCAAAGUUCUGAAAAUACCAAGACUGUAGUUCUUCAAAAGUUUGAUGAUGAUCAAUUUGUGGAUCAUGUAAUGAAUCAACUAAUAUUGCCUUCCAACAAUGUGGAAGCUGAUCAACGUAGUUUUGAUGAAAAUAAUGGUGGGGAACAGUUUGUUAAUGUCGAUGUGGAGUCAUCAUGGUUUCUUCAUGUUGAGACUAGUGGGAAUAGAGAUGUCUCCCUUGAUGAUAAAAUGCAAUUGAAUUUGAGUAAAAGGCCUCAGGAUAGUCAUGUAUGCUUAACUGCGUCUAUUUUAGGUUGCACGCCUGCCAGCGAGAAAGUUCUCACUGAAGUAAACCAGGAUGUUUGCAAAAAUGUGGAUGAAAACUCAUUCGGUGCUGAGAUCAAUUCUGAGAAGAUCCUCAAAUAUUCAUCUGAUUGUAACGAAGGUGCAAGUGAUGCUAGUGUGGAAGCCUUGGGGUGUUCUAUGAUGAAGGACGCUGUUGUUGAGGCUGGGGCUUCUGAAAUCGGCAACUUAUCCAGUAGUCAACUCCCAAAAAAAGUAUACACCAGAAAAAAGGUCCCAAAUACAAAACCUACUGCAAGAAAACAUAAUCCUUCACUUUUAGAAAGAGUAAUAUGCAGAAAACUUGUAGAUGGUUGUGUCCCAGAAUCUACAGGAGCUUUGCUUGAUUCAGAGCCGUUCCAUAUGAGCUCUUCUGUUGAUGAACCCCGAGAAAUUCUUUUGGGUGCUGAUACCAGGGUUGUAGGCCGACUCCUUGAUAUGCACACAGAUGAAACCACUAUAAUUUCCAACCCUGUAUUAGACAGUCAGGCACCUUUUAUGUUGCAAAAUCAAAUAGUUCCCUGUGCCUCAGAAGGCCAGGAUACAUCAAUUCUUUUUGUUCCACCUUUAUCAUGUGUAGAAAAAGCCCAAGACGUUUUUGAAGAGAGGCUGAUAGGGGUUGAGAAUACUUCAGAUGUUAAUAGUCCUACAUCUCAGAAACAAGGAACAGGGUUUUGCCUCAAUAAGACACCCAUUGCCAAGGAAGUUCAUGGCAAUUCGGAACCGAAGAUACAGAGGAAUAUGGAAGUGAACAAUGAGCUAGAGGGCAUUGUUAAGUUUCUGGGAUCCUAUUCCCAUCCCAUGCCUGUUUUGUCACUGUUGUUGAGAAGAAAAGGGAAUGAAAUUUACAUUUGUGCUGCAUGUGGCAUUCUGGUAGAUGAGAAAAGAAUUCUAUUUCUUUACAAGCUAUCAAUUGAAGAGCCAAGAAUAGGAUGUCCAUGCUUUGUUGGUCACACACCAGUGACCUGGCCAUCUUCAACAGAUAUCUUUGGUAGAGAAAUUGCAUUUGAAAGAUCUGGUAUGCAACUCGCCCCAGAUGGGCAGCAUCUUGUUUUACUUGGCAGCACAAGAACACCCCAUUGCAGGGAAGGAAGAUUAGAUUGUAUGUGCUCAACAUGUACAUCAGACUGCUUUGAGAACAGUGCAGUGAAGAUUGUUGAAGUAAAAUCUGGAUAUGUUUCAGUUCUACUAAAAUUGAGAACAACUGACAAUUUGCAAUGCAUAUUGGUUUGUGAACCUGACCAUCUAGUUGCUGCUGGGGAAAGUAGGAGACUGCAUCUGUGGACCAUGAAUUCAAGUUGGAGGUGAAUUUAUUGAGGCAAUUUUAAUCUAGUUUUACUUCAAUUCUUUCAGGCAUUGUGGUGGCCUUGUUUGUCUUAUUGGUAUAUUCCAAAUGUUUUAGUUUAAGCUAUUUUUCUUAUUGCAUUUAUCCUGUACCAUAGUCCAACUCUUUGUUUACUUGUUUUUUUGUCUCCUUUAUGAUACUGCACUAAUAUGCGAUUCAUAUUGGAAAUAGCUUCCUUACACUCACUUUUGCUUGUUUCUGCUACCCCUCCAACAUAUGAUCACACCUAUGUUUUUGUUUUUCUGAUUCUGAGCUUUGUGUAGGACAAUUUGGGUUAUGCUUGAGGGACACAAAUAUUUCAAUGUCUGGCUUCUUUUUUUUUUGAGCUUCAUAACUCGUUUGAGAAUUUUGGAUAGAUUGUUUUCAUUUGAAUAGAUAAAUCUGUGAAAAUUUCCAGUCCAGUCCAGUAGAUCAGUCCUUGCAAAAAUAGAGUGAAAGGCCAUCAAGUGGGUUCCCAGAUGUUCUCUAUUUGCCACUUCCUUGUCAAGUCAAUAGAUAAGAGAGAAUAAGUGAGCUAGAGACAAGAGAAGAGAUUCCCUUACCUUGUUGUCUUGAUAUAUUUAUAGGAGUAAGGCACACUUGGCAAUGUUGCAAAUUCAUCAUUUCCCUUGGUUUUGGAAGGGAUAUCUCAAAACGUAACUUUGUCUCAAGGUUCUCUGCUCCAAGCCCUUCAGUUCAUCAAUUCUGUCCUAUCAGUUUGUUUAGUUGGCAAAGAGAAGUCCAUGGUUUCAGUUACUCUAAUGUUGAAGCUCACAUAAAUAGGCCCAUGGAUGCAACAAAAUUAUGGUUUUCAGAGCACAGCAAGAGCCAUACUUUUCCUCCUUUAGAGGGUGAAGAUAUCGCCAUCUGGUUUCUUGUCUCAACUGUCCAUGACUCUGAUGCUCAACAUGACUAUGAUUCAACUGAUCGCCAUAUAAAUCCGGUUGGAUGCUGGAGGCUAGCUCUACUGGUGAGAAAUAAAAUUAUCUUGGGCAGCACAUUGGAUACAAGGUGCCUAUUUUUAUUUAAUUUUUUAUAAGUUUAAAGUUGGUUCCUUGUUUAAAAGUUGCAUUGUGUUUUUGGUGUUAGAUCAAAACAUCCAAACUGCCAUUUUAGACAGUUAAUGUGAUAUCACUGUACUUUUCCUCUCUGGCUUUUGCUGAAAAUGGUUUGAUAAGUUGCAAACAAAAAACAUAAUAUAGAAUGCAGCACUUGAUUGCAGUUAUGAUAAAACUAUUUGUGCUGAAAAAUGGAUUUAUUUACUUAUUGCUGAAUCUGCAGAAGUUAUUUCAUGUAUCUGAGGCAGAGUCGGCUGCUAAAGGUGCCAUAAGUUUUAAUUAGAAAUCACUUUGCAGGGCGGCUGCUGUCAAUACAUCAGCUGGUCAUGGAAUCAUGGGUACACUUGAUGGACUUGUGUAUAUGUGGGAAUUAUUGACGGGAAAUAAACUUGGCACUCUGCUUGAACUCAAAGGUAUACUUCAGUUUCAGUAAUCAAGGCUUUUUGUCAUAUGCUAUUCUGUGUUAUUAAAUUGAGUAGGUAACUAUCUAUGGGUAAUUAUGAGAAAUCCUCUCUAGCAUGUAUUGCAUACGCUUUCUUUACUUCAUUUUGCUAUAAUGCAUUCCAUAUCUUUUUCAUCUGGUUCAGUGAAAAUGAUCACAUUCACUGUUUCUUUGUGAUCAUAAUCUCUCUAUUUGGAAGUAGUCGAUUAAAGUUUUCACUAUUAACAUAGUUAUCCUGCACAACUUGGUACUGAUUCUUCACUAAUAACAGUGUCCAGAUUCAUUAUCGUCUGGUCAGUGAUAAUGCAUUAGUUGCUAUUUUUCUAUGUUUAAUGUGUGAUUAUUUUAAACAUUUUCCCCGUGCUGUCAGGCGGAAGUGUUUCAAGCAUUGCUACUGAUGAUUCAGGGUCAGGUGUCCUGGCAGUAGUAGAUGACAGAGGUCAGUUACUGGUGUAUCAGCAUCUCCAGUGAGUCGGUGCUAUUUUGCAAAUCAGUGAGACAAGCAAACAAGGUCCUUUCUGCUCUUCCCUGAAGAUGAUUCUCCACCGUGCUGGAGAGUGUGAUUGGUACUCUUCAAGUGAUGAACUACAAGGAUUCCCAUUGUGUUUGUUCGCAGAUUAAUAAAAAACAAGAGAAAGAAAUUCGUUUUCAUUUUAUAAGGGCAACACAUGAAACUUGAUUUUUUAUUCAGUUCAAAUAAAUACAUGAUGAAAAGUAACACUUUUAAAAUGAUUAAUGAAAGAGUCAAUUUUAUUGCAGAA
RNAcentral lists this unclassified non-coding RNA (5500 nucleotides) under Hevea brasiliensis (rubber tree). The record is from RNAcentral. Lineage: Eukaryota; Viridiplantae; Streptophyta; Magnoliopsida; Malpighiales; Euphorbiaceae.